RNAcentral lists this ribosomal RNA (576 nucleotides) under uncultured bacterium. RNAcentral's name for it is "bacterial SSU rRNA". It matches the Rfam family "Bacterial small subunit ribosomal RNA", at positions 715 to 1289 of the family's 1533-position model. The record is from RNAcentral.
GCGAAGGCAACAUUCUGCCCCAAUACUGACACUGAGGGACGAAAGCGUGGGGAUCAAACAGGAUUAGAUACCCUGGUAGUCCACGCUGUAAACGAUGAGUACUAGCUGUUGGAUUCGGUGUAAAGGAUCUAGUGGCGUAGCUAACGCGUUAAGUACUCCGCCUGGGGACUACGGCCGCAAGGCUAAAACUCAAAGGAAUUGACGGGGACCCGCACAAGCGGUGGAGCAUGUGGUUUAAUUCGAUGCAACGCGAAUAACCUUACCUGGUCUUGACAUCCUGCGAACUUUCUAGAGAUAGAUUGGUGCCUUCGGGAACGCAGUGACAGGUGCUGCACGGCUGUCGUCAGCUCGUGUUGUGAAAUGUUGGGUUAAGUCCCGCAACGAGCGCAACCCCUAUUGAUAGUUACCAUCAUUAAGUUGGGUACUCUAUUGAGACUGCCGCUGACAAGGCGGAGGAAGGUGGGGACGACGUCAAGUCAUCAUGGCCCUUACGACCAGGGCUACACACGUGCUACAAUGGGUAUUACAGAGGGCAGCGAAGUAACGAUAUGGAGCGAAACUCAGAAAGGUACUCUU